Molecule: ribosomal RNA, 690 nt
Filed under: uncultured bacterium
Lineage: Bacteria
Description: bacterial SSU rRNA
Rfam family: Bacterial small subunit ribosomal RNA
Source: RNAcentral
AGGGUUUGAUCAUGGCUCAGAACGAACGCUGGCGGCAGGCUUAACACAUGCAAGUCGAGCGAGGUCUUCGGACCUAGCGGCGGACGGGUUAGUAACGCGUGGGAACGUGCCCUUCACUGCGGAAUAGCCACUGGAAACGGUGAGUAAUACCGCAUACGCCCUUCGGGGGAAAGAUUUAUCGGUGAAGGAUCGGCCCGCGUCUGAUUAGAUAGUUGGUGGGGUAAUGGCCUACCAAGUCUACGAUCAGUAGCUGGUUUUAGAGGAUGAUCAGCAACACUGGGACUGAGACACGGCCCAGACUCCUACGGGAGGCAGCAGUGGGGAAUCUUAGACAAUGGGCGCAAGCCUGAUCUAGCCAUGCCGCGUGAGUGAUGAAGGUCUUAGGAUCGUAAAGCUCUUUCGCCAGGGAUGAUAAUGACAGUACCUGGUAAAGAAACCCCGGCUAACUCCGUGCCAGCAGCCGCGGUAAUACGGAGGGGGUUAGCGUUGUUCGGAAUUACUGGGCGUAAAGCGCGCGUAGGCGGAUCAGAAAGUUGGGGGUGAAAUCCCAGGGCUCAACCCUGGAACUGCCUCCAAAACUACUGGUCUAGAGUUCGAGAGAGGUGAGUGGAAUUGUGAGUGUAGAGGUGAAAUUCGUAGAUAUUCACAGGAACACCAGUGGCGAAGGCGGCUCACUGGCUCGAUACUGAC